GUGAAGACUUGCCUGAAAAUGACAGCCAUCGCCCUCUAAAGAAGUGUUCACCGAGGACCCAUAGCAUCAUGCCUGGCACUGAUAGGUGCUAGAAAUUCAGGGAUGUUGUGGCUUGGCCCUUGGUAGAUGUUCAUGUGGGUAUUUCCUUUUCCUCCAAGGCACAUGACUAACUUUUAUUUCUCCAGCAGAUUGCAGUCAGGUAAAACCAUGCGACUGGAGUCUGGCUAAUGGAUUUGAGUAAUGCAAGCCACUUCCAGCCCUCACUGCUAACACAUCUUCAUGGUCUUUCUUUCUCUCUUUUGUUCAUCAUUGUCAGAUAAAAGCAGUAAAUACAGAAAUGGAGUUCCAGGUUGCAGAAUUUAACACCAUCACUAGAUCAAAGAUUCUGGUCCUGUGUUACCCAUGUAGGAGAUCCAUUUGAGUAACUAUCUGAUCAGAGAUUGCUGCAUGGGACUUUGUGUAAGCAGGAAAUGAUCUCUAAUGUUGUUAAUCUGCUGAGAUUUCAGGGUUUAUUUGUUACUGAAGUGGCUCUCUUACCUAUUCUGACUAACAGAGUGCAUAUAAUCUCUUCAAGGAGUUAAUGUUUUGGUUGAAGAGGCAUGAGUACAUGAUUAUCACACAUAUGGUUGGUAGAGUGAAUGAGAUGUGUAAGAACCAAUGGAGGUACAGCAGGGAGUAAGAUGGGGUGAUGAUGAUGAUAGGGAAACUUUCUGGAGGAAAUGUAUCCUUGUGUGUUUCUUGCAAGUGUGGACUUGCUGGGGAGGAUGGCUGUGGGCAGGGAGGAGAGGAUUAGAGCAGGUCAGUGUUGUUGGAGCAGAAAAGAUGGGGUUGGUCAUAGUGAUGGAUGGAGCUGAAGAGGAGGUGUCAGCUCACAGAGCAUCUUGCACACCAUGUGGGGUCCCUGAGAUUUUGGAGAUUGAUCCUAUUCAGGUGCUGAUCUGUGAUGUUAUAAGAAGGUGCUGCUCUUUUAAAUCAAUAACUUCUUUCAUUGGAUAAAUCUAGCUGUUAAAAAAUUAAAGUCAGCUGAACUAAACAGCAAGCUUAAUGAUGUAGUUGAUUCAUAUUCUGGCGUAAGUUCCUUAUUCAGAAAACUGUUCAUUUGUUUGAGGACCACACUUUGAGUAGUUCUCUUUCUGACAACGUUUUUUUUUCUGCUUGCUGUGGGCAAUGGUUAUGAGGGUGUAUAUUUGGAGGCUGGGAUACUGUUGAAG
Molecule: long non-coding RNA, 1211 nt
Filed under: Marmota monax (woodchuck)
Lineage: Eukaryota; Metazoa; Chordata; Mammalia; Rodentia; Sciuridae
Source: RNAcentral